Molecule: long non-coding RNA, 1328 nt
Filed under: Linum usitatissimum (flax)
Lineage: Eukaryota; Viridiplantae; Streptophyta; Magnoliopsida; Malpighiales; Linaceae
Description: long non-coding RNA (LUSI_LNC005753)
Source: RNAcentral
AUUUUACUGAUGGAUCGUUGUUACUGCCGCCGAUUACAAGCGAUCAAUUGGUUCUGCGGGAUGCUUACAAUACUAUGGUGUUCUGCUAGAUUAAUAACUCUUUACAUCCAGAGAUCAGGCGUAGUGUUUUGAAUCUUGAAGUUGCACAGACUUUGUGGCAAGAACUUAAGCGUCGAUUUGGUAAAGGUAAUGCACUGAAGAUGGAAAAUCUCCAAGACGAGACCCACAAAUGUAAGCAGGGACCUCUGACUGUCACGCAAUACUAUACCAUCAUUAAAGGUUUGUGGGAGGAAUAUAGUGAGCGUUCUUGGAAAUAUUGCUCUCUGUCCAACAGUCAUUGCAUUUCAGGAGAAGUAGGAUACAUACUAUCUGCGUGUUUAGAUUUCUGCGUGGAUUAAGUGAUGAUUAUGAUAUUGUUAGAACUCAGAUUCUGAUGAUGAAUCCUUUGCCUACGACUACUGCUCUUAUGAUUAGGCCUUAUACCAUGAGGAAAAGCUGAGAGGAGGAAUAACGAUAGGAAAAUUGAAUCCUUCUCGGUAGCAGUGUUUGGAGUAAAUGCAACAACAUCGAUGGCUCGAUUAUAGCAGCCUCUAGUCGCCAAGGGCCCUCUCCAACUCCUAAUCAGAUGUCAGGGAAGAAAUUCCGCCGUUAUUGCAAAAAAAAGAGAAUCACAAUAUCAAAGAAUGUAUGAAGUUGAAGAUCAAAUGGCAAAAUGAACAAGCUACUCAAGCUGGAGAGAGUAAUGUUGGAUAUAACAACCUUUUUGUUGGUGCACUAGCUCAAAUUGAGCCAACAAGUGAGCCAACAAGUGAGCCAACCGGUUCCUCUGUUGCAGCAUUCAGCUCAUUCACUACUGAAGAAAUCAAUCAACUACGGGGUAUGUUGUAGAAAAAUCCUCCAAUCUGAGCUUUCUCAGUUAUGCAGAGUCAUCCUUCCCUUCCUAACCAUAGAUUUGAGUAUAACCCUUGGCAACAAGACUUGCUUUGUGCCUUUCAAUGGAUCCAUCUGUUUUCAAUUUGGUCUUCUAUAUCCACUUGCACCCCACAUGAUGAAAUGUUCUUGAUAAAGGAACCAAUUCCCAAGUUUGAUAUUUAGCCAAUGCUGCAAGUUCCUUCUUCGUUGCUGUGUUCCACUUUGGAUGUUUAGAUGCUUCUGUAUAAGUAGUAGGUUCUUGUUGAACAAGAACAAUUAAGGAAAAACACUUAUAAUGAUCAGAAAGGUUAUCAUAGGUAACCACGGUUGUAAUAGAAUGCUUUGUAACUCCUUUAUCAAGAUGAUAAAUCUUGUAAAUGGAUUGGUGCCCUUCUCUCCCUUGUAGAAUGCCUUAG